ACGUAGGGGGCAAGCGUUGUCCGGAAUGACUGGGCGUAAAGGGCGUGUAGGCGGCCGAUUAAGUAUGGAGUGAAAGUCCAUUUUUCAAGGAUGGAAUUGCUUUGUAGACUGGUUGGCUUGAGUGCGGAAGAGGUAAGUGGAAUUCCCAGUGUAGCGGUGAAAUGCGUAGAGAUUGGGAGGAACACCAGUGGCGAAGGCGACUUACUGGGCCGUAACUGACGCUGAGGCGCGAAAGCGUGGGGAGCGAACAG
This 251-nucleotide ribosomal RNA is filed under the name uncultured bacterium. RNAcentral's name for it is "partial 16S ribosomal RNA". It matches the Rfam family "Bacterial small subunit ribosomal RNA", at positions 525 to 775 of the family's 1533-position model. The record is from RNAcentral.